This 254-nucleotide ribosomal RNA is filed under the name uncultured bacterium. RNAcentral describes it as "partial 16S ribosomal RNA". It matches the Rfam family "Bacterial small subunit ribosomal RNA", at positions 524 to 776 of the family's 1533-position model. The record is from RNAcentral.
UACGAAGGGGGCUAGCGUUGUUCGGAAUCACUGGGCGUAAAGAGCACGCAGGCGGAUUGAUAAGUCAGGGGUGAAAUCCCGGAGCUCAACUUCGGAAUUGCCUUUGAUACUGUCUGUCUUCGAGUUCGGGAGAGGUUGGCGGAAUUCCUAGUGUAGAGGUGAAAUUCGUAGAUAUUAGGAAGAACACCAGUGGCGAAGGCGGCCAACUGGCCCGAUACUGACGCUCAUGUGCGAAAGCGUGGGGAGCAAACAGG